This 309-nucleotide ribosomal RNA is filed under the name Triticum aestivum (bread wheat). RNAcentral's name for it is "partial small subunit ribosomal RNA". Lineage: Eukaryota; Viridiplantae; Streptophyta; Magnoliopsida; Poales; Poaceae. The record is from RNAcentral.
AUGGUCAGUAUUUUAAUUCGCCUGUUAGGUGCGGGGUAUAUAUACAAGACUUUAGAAAUGAAUGCAGAGACUGCUUUUGUUUGUGUGUUCCGUGACUGGGUGACUGGUGUUUCUGCAUUCUUCUUGUCAAUGCGAGUAGUGGACACUACUAUACUGGGAUGUGACUUGGAAUUUGGAAGCUUCAAUCAAGUUCUUAUGGCUUAUGGCUUGAGACGGCCGGUAUUUUAUAUCGGGGAGCGGCUUGAGGUGCGCUUUGUCGUCUUUGCUGAUCUUGGGCCUGUUCAUAAGAGAAAAGAACUGUUAAUUUGA